UACGGGGGGGGCAAGCGUUGUUCGGAAUUACUGGGCGUAAAGGGCGCGUAGGCGGUGCUCUAAGUCGGAUGUGAAAACUCUGGGCUCAACCCAGAGCCUGCAUCCGAAACUGGAGUGCUAGAGUUCUGGAGGGGGUAGCGGAAUUCCUGGUGUAGCGGUGAAAUGCGCAGAUAUCAGGAGGAACACCAAUUGCGAAGGCAGCUCGCUGGGACGGUACUGACGCUGAGACGCGAAAGCGUGGGGAGCAAACAGG
Molecule: ribosomal RNA, 253 nt
Filed under: uncultured bacterium
Lineage: Bacteria
Description: partial 16S ribosomal RNA
Rfam family: Bacterial small subunit ribosomal RNA
Source: RNAcentral